Gallus gallus (chicken) is the source of this 1627-nucleotide long non-coding RNA. NCBI's taxonomy places the organism in Eukaryota, Metazoa, Chordata, Aves, Galliformes, Phasianidae. The record is from Ensembl.
CAGAUUGUGACUGAAAACACAGAGCAGAGGUUUCUGCCAUCUUUCCUGCUACCGUGGCUCCCCGGCUGCCUGCAAAGCUGUGGAGGGGGCUCUGGCAGGGGUAAGUGCUCCCCACAGCAUGGGAAAGUUCUGCCUUUUUAGAGGGGACUGGGAAGAGGGGAAGGGCAUCAGAGACAAUGAUUACAGGCCCUUACAGGGGACACAAGGCUGCAGCUGGGUGAGAUAGCUGAGCUGAGGGCUCCCUAUGCUUCAAGUCCUGCUCCUCCUGUUGCUCCUCAUUCCAGUGUCCAGAUGAGUGAACCACAUCAGCUUGUUGAACAGGUGGUAAGCAGAAGCGAGAGGUGUUUGGGAAUGGCAAUGACAGUUGGGAAGAAGUCCCCAGCAGAGGUGCCCUGCUUUGCUUCAGGACUCCCAGCAUCUCCUGCAAGGCUGGAACACAGAGAGAACAGAGCGGAAGUUAUGUUUCUGAACAAGAGAUUGCCAGUGCUGCAGUGCCAAACUUUCCUUUUUGCAUUCAUUGCACUGAUCUGCAGAGACCUUCAUGAGCAGAGCAGCCAUGGAUGGGCAUAACUAGUGAUACUGCUAGAGCCUGCAUGGUUAUGUGCCUUGUACCAGCUGCAAACCAUCCCUGAUACAUGCCCAAGCCCAGCAUGACCUCCUGGAGCUACACAACGAUGGGGACAGGCACCUUUCCAGGUCAGGCAGUUCUGCAACAGUAAGGCCAUCCUCAUCAUCUAACCUGACUGGUGACACAACAGCACUGAAGUCCUUUCUGGCAAUGGGGAUAUGUCUGACUCCAGGGCUGGGGAUGCAUGGUGCUGGCACAGCAGACACACAGCCUGGCACCAGAGGCAGCAUGAGCUGUUGUCACCUCCCAUGCCAUUUGUACUGUAUUCUGUGCUGCACUGUGUCUGGCUGGGAUGGAGUUAACUCUCUUCUGCCAGCCCAUAUUACACUGUUUGGGAUCUGUAAGAAAAGCAGGGUUGAUAACACCCUGGUAUGUUAGCUGUUGCUGAGCAGAGUCUACACAGUGUGAAGGCCAUUUCUUUUUCCACAUGAGUAAGCUGGACACCAACACACAUCGCCUUCCCCAGCUUUCAGGAUCUGCACUUUGACUGGGGAUCCCUGUGUGGCCAUGUGCAGACAGUUGCUCCUGCAUGCUGUUCUUCAGCAGUGAUACAGGGAUGACUUAGCAAAAUCAGCUUUUUGACAGCGUUUCCUCCUGAUCAGCUCAGCCCAAUGGGUGCUGCCAGCUCUGCAGAGACUCCAGCUGGAAGCAGCACGUGUGCUCCCAGAAGCUUGCUGGAGAGUAGCUAUUGCCCCCACAGCACUGGUGGACAGGAAGUCAUAGGAUCCCAGCACUGCUGGGAUGGGAAAGGCCCCCCCAGCCCCACCCCUGCCAUGUGCUGGCUGCCCAGGGCCCAGCCAUGGCCUUGGGCACCUGCAGGGAUGGGGCACCCACAGCUCUGGGCAGCAGUGCCGGGGCUGCACUGCCCUGCUGCUCCCACCACUGCCCCAGCAGGACAGUUUGAAAUGCUGAGAUGCAGGUGGUAGUGACACUGCCUGCAAAGUCUGAACACAGCUGCUUUAUGGGACCAUGCAAAUGUGACCUGUUCCCAAAGCGCCC